Molecule: long non-coding RNA, 421 nt
Filed under: Brassica rapa (field mustard)
Lineage: Eukaryota; Viridiplantae; Streptophyta; Magnoliopsida; Brassicales; Brassicaceae
Description: long non-coding RNA (BRAP_LNC000363)
Source: RNAcentral
GCAAUUUUUAAAAUAUAGGGCAGUUUCAUUUAGUUGGUAAAAGGAUCCUAAUACCCUAGAUAUAUAAAAAACUAAAAAAUUAAAAAAAUUAAAAAAAUAUUUUUUUAUAGUUUUAGAUUAUAUGUUUUCAAAUUCAAACUUUUUUAUAAUUUUUUUUAAAUUGUUUUUCGAAUUUUUUUUAAAUUUUUUUUCAAAUAUCUUUUUGUAAUUCGAAAAUACUUUUUGAUAUUAUUUUUAAAAUUUUUAUUUUCAAAUUUUAAUAUUUAUUGUUUAUUUUAUAAAAUUUUAAAUCUCAAUCCCAAAUCACCACUCCUAACCUCUAAACCCUAAGGUUUUGAUUAGUUAACCCUAGAGGCAUAAAUGUAUAUUUACCUUUUUAAUGUAACAUUUUAGUCAUUUUGAUCCUUAUAGUCUAUAUUUG